UACGAAGGGGGCUAGCGUUGUUCGGAUUUACUGGGCGUAAAGGGCGCGUAGGCGGCGCGGUAAGUCACUUGUGAAAUCUCUGAGCUUAACUCAGAACGGCCAAGUGAUACUGCAAUGCUUGAGUGUGGAAGGGGCAAUCGGAAUUCUUGGUGUAGCGGUGAAAUGCGUAGAUAUCAAGAGGAACACCUGAGGUGAAGACGGGUUGCUGGGCCAACACUGACGCUGAUGCGCGAAAGCCAGGGGAGCAAACGGG
Molecule: ribosomal RNA, 253 nt
Filed under: uncultured bacterium
Lineage: Bacteria
Description: partial 16S ribosomal RNA
Rfam family: Bacterial small subunit ribosomal RNA
Source: RNAcentral